AUGAACGCUGGCGGCGUGCCUAAUCCAUGCAAGUCGAGCGAACAGAUGAGGAGCUUGCUCCUCUGACGUUAGCGGCGGACGGGUGAGUAACACGUGGAUAACCUACCUAUAAGACUGGGAUAACUUCGGGAAACCGGAGCUAAUACCGGAUAAUAUAUUGAACCGCAUGGUUCAAUAGUGAAAGACGGUUUCGCUGUCACUUAUAGAUGGAUCCGCGCCGCAUUAGCUAGUUGGUAAGGUAACGGCUUACCAAGGCAACGAUGCGUAGCCGACCUGAGAGGGUGAUCGGCCACACUGGAACUGAGACACGGUCCAGACUCCUACGGGAGGCAGCAGUAGGGAAUCUUCCGCAAUGGGCGAAAGCCUGACGGAGCAACGCCGCGUGAGUGAUGAAGGUCUUCGGAUCGUAAAACUCUGUUAUUAGGGAAGAACAAAUGUGUAAGUAACUAUGCACGUCUUGACGGUACCUAAUCAGAAAGCCACGGCUAACUACGUG
RNAcentral lists this ribosomal RNA (496 nucleotides) under uncultured bacterium. Its description in RNAcentral is "partial 16S ribosomal RNA". It matches the Rfam family "Bacterial small subunit ribosomal RNA", at positions 29 to 507 of the family's 1533-position model. The record is from RNAcentral.